AUCCGUUUAUAGAUCAUAAGUGGGAUGAUUGGGUCUUCAUGCCCGUGUGUGAGAUGUGCUUCCCUCAAACCUUGUUAUGAUGGUGGCACAUUGCCCAUCUGAUG
This is a small nucleolar RNA of Callithrix jacchus (white-tufted-ear marmoset), 104 nucleotides long. NCBI's taxonomy places the organism in Eukaryota, Metazoa, Chordata, Mammalia, Primates, Cebidae. The record is from Ensembl.